RNAcentral lists this long non-coding RNA (222 nucleotides) under Elaeis guineensis (African oil palm). RNAcentral's name for it is "long non-coding RNA (EGUI_LNC001694)". The record is from RNAcentral. Lineage: Eukaryota; Viridiplantae; Streptophyta; Magnoliopsida; Arecales; Arecaceae.
GAUGUGUAUGAAAAAAUCCUUCGCUUUCAUGAUAAUAUUCAUCCCUAGAUCAAUGGAGGUAGGGAAUGACAUUGAUGUCUAUUUGCAGCCUCUUAUUAUCGAGCUGAAAUAAUUGUGAAGCGUUCAAGGUAUUCCAACUUUUGAUGCUUUAAUGAAUGAGUCAUUCCCCCAUACACGUGGUGCUUAUAUGGAUAAUAAAUGACUUUCCAGCUUAUGCCCUAA